UUAAGUUAAUAAGGGCGCACGGUGGAUGCCUUGGCACUAGGAGCCGACGAAGGACGUGACAAACGACGAUAUGCCUUGGGUAGCUGUAAGUAAGCGAUGAUCCAGGGAUUUCCGAAUGGGGGAACCCAACAGGUAGUACCUGUUACCCACAUCUGUUAAGGAUGUGAGGAGGAAGACGCAGUGAACUGAAACAUCUAAGUAGCUGCAGGAAGAGAAAGCAAAAGCGAUUGCCUUAGUAGCGGCGAGCGAAACGGCAGGAGGGCAAACCGAAGAGUUUACUCUUCGGGGUUGUAGGACUGCAAUGUGGACUCAAAGAUUAUAGAAGAAUGAUUUGGGAAGAUCAGCCAAAGAGAGUAAUAGCCUCGUAUUUAAAAUAGUCUUUGUACUUAGCAGUAUCCUGAGUACGGCGGGACACGUGAAAUCCCGUCGGAAUCUGGGAGGACCAUCUCCCAACCCUAAAUACUCCCUAGUGACCGAUAGUGAACCAGUACCGUGAGGGAAAGGUGAAAAGCACCCCGGGAGGGGAGUGAAAUAGAACCUGAAACCGUGUGCCUACAACAAGUUCGAGCCCGUUAAUGGGUGAGAGCGUGCCUUUUGUAGAAUGAACCGGCGAGUUACGUUAUGAUGCGAGGUUAAGUUGAAGAGACGGAGCCGUAGGGAAACCGAGUCUGAAUAGGGCGCCUUAGUAUCAUGACGUAGACCCGAAACCAUGUGACCUACCCAUGAGCAGGUUGAAGGUGCGGUAAGACGCACUGGAGGACCGAACCAGGGCACGUUGAAAAGUGCUUGGAUGACUUGUGGGUAGCGGAGAAAUUCCAAACGAACUUGGAGAUAGCUGGUUCUCUCCGAAAUAGCUUUAGGGCUAGCGUCGACAUUAGAGAUUCUUGGAGGUAGAGCACUGUUUGGGUGAGGGGUCCAUCCCGGAUUACCAAUCUCAGAUAAACUCCGAAUGCCAAUGAAUUAUGGUCGGCAGUCAGACUGCGAGUGCUAAGAUCCGUAGUCGAAAGGGAAACAGCCCAGACCACCAGCUAAGGUCCCAAAAUAAUUGUUAAGUGGAAAAGGAUGUGGGGUUGCACAGACAACUAGGAUGUUAGCUUAGAAGCAGCUAUUCAUUCAAAGAGUGCGUAAUAGCUCACUAGUCGAGUGACCCUGCGCCGAAAAUGUACCGGGGCUAAAACAAUUUACCGAAGCUGUGGAUACCUUUAUAGGUAUGGUAGGAGAGCGUUCUAUGUGUGAUGAAGGUAUACCGUGAGGAGUGCUGGAACGCAUAGAAGUGAGAAUGCCGGUAUGAGUAGCGAAAGACAGGUGAGAAUCCUGUCCACCGUAAGACUAAGGUUUCCAGGGGAAGGCUCGUCCGCCCUGGGUUAGUCGGGACCUAAGGAGAGACCGAAAGGUGUAUCCGAUGGACAACAGGUUGAUAUUCCUGUACUAGAGUAUGUAGUGAUGGAGGGACGCAGUAGGCUAACUAAAGCAGACGAUUGGAAGAGUCUGUCUAAGCAGUGAGGUGUGAAUUGAGUCAAAUGCUUAAUUCUAUAACAUUGAGCUGUGAUGGGGAGCGAAGUUAGUGAGUAACGCACAGAAAAGCUUCUAGCGUUUAAACAUACUCUACCCGUACCGCAAACCGACACAGGUAGUCGAGGCGAGUAGCCUCAGGUGAGCGAGAGAACUCUCGUUAAGGAACUCGGCAAAAUGACCCCGUAACUUCGGGAGAAGGGGUGCUGACUUUAAGUCAGCCGCAGUGAAUAGGCCCAAGCAACUGUUUAUCAAAAACACAGCUCUCUGCUAAAUCGUAAGAUGAUGUAUAGGGGGUGACGCCUGCCCGGUGCUGGAAGGUUAAGAGGAGUGCUUAGCGUAAGCGAAGGUAUGAAUUGAAGCCCCAGUAAACGGCGGCCGUAACUAUAACGGUCCUAAGGUAGCGAAAUUCCUUGUCGGGUAAGUUCCGACCCGCACGAAAGGCGUAAUGAUUUGGGCACUGUCUCAACGAGAGACUCGGUGAAAUUUUGGUACCUGUGAA
RNAcentral lists this ribosomal RNA (2014 nucleotides) under Streptococcus pneumoniae GA54644. RNAcentral describes it as "bacterial LSU rRNA". It matches the Rfam family "Bacterial large subunit ribosomal RNA", at positions 3 to 2057 of the family's 2925-position model. Lineage: Bacteria; Bacillati; Bacillota; Bacilli; Lactobacillales; Streptococcaceae. The record is from RNAcentral.